This 433-nucleotide ribosomal RNA is filed under the name uncultured bacterium. Its description in RNAcentral is "partial 16S ribosomal RNA". It matches the Rfam family "Bacterial small subunit ribosomal RNA", at positions 29 to 507 of the family's 1533-position model. The record is from RNAcentral.
AGCGAACGCUGGCGGCAGGCUUAACACAUGCAAGUCGAGCGGGCCUUUCGGGGUCAGCGGCGGACGGGUGAGUAACGCGUGGGAACGUGCCCUCUGGUUCGGAAUAACUCAGGGAAACUUGAGCUAAUACCGGAUACGCCCUUUUGGGGAAAGGCUUGCUGCCGGAGGAUCGGCCCGCGUCUGAUUAGCUAGUUGGUGAGGUAACGGCUCACCAAGGCGACGAUCAGUAGCUGGUCUGAGAGGAUGAUCAGCCACACUGGGACUGAGACACGGCCCAGACUCCUACGGGAGGCAGCAGUGGGGAAUAUUGGACAAUGGGCGCAAGCCUGAUCCAGCCAUGCCGCGUGUGUGAUGAAGGCCUUAGGGUUGUAAAGCUCUUUUAUCCGGGACGAUAAUGACGGUACCGGAGGAAUAAGCCCCGGCUAACUUCGUG